CUAUNCGGGAGGCAGCAGUGGGGAAUAUUGCACAAUGGGGGAAACCCUGAUGCAGCCAUGCCGCGUGUGUGAAGAAGGCCUUCGGGUUGUAAAGCACUUUCAGUUGUGAGGAAAAGUUAGUAGUUAAUACCUGCUAGCCGUGACGUUAACAACAGAAGAAGCACCGGCUAACUCCGUGCCAGCAGCCGCGGUAAUACGGAGGGUGCGAGCGUUAAUCGGAAUUACUGGGCGUAAAGCGCACGCAGGCGGUUUGUUAAGCUAGAUGUGAAAGCCCCGGGCUCAACCUGGGAUGGUCAUUUAGAACUGGCAGACUAGAGUCUUGGAGAGGGGAGUGGAAUUCCAGGUGUAGCGGUGAAAUGCGUAGAUAUCUGGAGGAACAUCAGUGGCGAAGGCGACUCCCUGGCCAAAGACUGACGCUCAUGUGCGAAAGUGUGGGUAGCGAACAGGAUUAGAUACCCUGGUAGUCCACACCGUAAACGCUGUCUACUAGCUGUUUGUGACUUUAAGUCGUGAGUAGCGAAGCUAACGCGCUAAGUAGACCGCCU
Molecule: ribosomal RNA, 545 nt
Filed under: bacterium A4T_VP5_G11
Lineage: Bacteria
Description: bacterial SSU rRNA
Rfam family: Bacterial small subunit ribosomal RNA
Source: RNAcentral